GGAUUCCGGUUGCAUGUAUGUUAGACAUCCUGAUUUGUCCCAGAAGUCACUAAUGUUUUGUUCACUUUUUAAAGGUUUUUUUUUUUUCCUCCCUGUUAAACAUUUUGGAUUGUGUAUUUUGCAACACAUUCAUCUUCAGGUUCAUCUAUCUUUCCUUCUGCAGUGUCUAAUCUGCUACUGAUUUCAGAGAGACAGCAGUGAGUGAUGGCUGAAAGCGAGAUCUUAAUUCUCUGCUCAGGAAUUGAACCUGUGCAGCCUGGGUGAAAACCAGGAAUCCUAACUACUAGCUAGAGGCUAAAAACAGAAUUUCCCUGAUUGAAAGCAAAAAUGUUUCAAGGAGGCAAAGAUUGUGAAUAAAAAAGAAUAAAGGUACAAAAGUUCAUUGUUAAAAGCACAGUACAACAUGUGAGAGAGAAGAAGUCUGUUUAUUGAAGGCAGAAGCAAAGCAGUAACACACACCAAAAGGAGCACAGGUGUGGGCAUCCCCCUGAAUGAGGAGGGCACCUGAGAGGUGAUUUAAGGCCAAAAGAGGUGGGCAGUUCUUCUGGGUCUCUUUUUUCCUUUGGCCAAGUAUCUCAUUUUAUUUCUCACACCUGACCAGACCCAGGGCCCUCCCUCAUAUGCGAGUGCAUCUUUUGGCCAAGAUGGAUUCCAGCACAAGGCCUUGUGGGAAGGUUAGCUGGAUUUACUAUGGCCUGGAGUCCCCUCCCUUUCUGACCCAGAGGGAUAUCUCUGUGCAUGUGGUGUUGGGGUCUCCCUGACCCCAAGGAUGGGAAGGAGGUGACCUCUUGGUCUUUCGCCCAAGGAGGGUUUAGCCCCUCUCUGCCCCUGCCAUUACCACUGCUUAAGUGUUCAUAGAAAACAAAUUCCAGUAACAGACCUUGUGCCCAUUGUUAUUUCUAUCUUGAAAUAUAAACAGUUGGCUGGCUGUUAAUGUCUAUCCUGGAGCCCACCUAUCUGCUGCCCCACUACCACUCCCGUCUGGGGUAGGAGGAGAUAUUGUGCAAAAGGAUCGAGAUGGGAGGCAUCUGGGGGAUGCUGGGAGCUGCAGGGGUCCAGAGGGUUCUCACCAUGCUUGGCUUCAGCUCAGCCUGUGGAGCAGGGAAAGUCUGUAUUCUGGUCAGACAUGUGGAUCCCUUGUGGGAAACUUAAUGGACAUAUAGCUAUUUCUUGACUGUGAACUCUCUCCCCAGAGGGUCAAAUUCUCUUCCCUUUCACUACACAAAGGGAAUAGUCAUCUUCCCAUCUCUCUCAGAGCCAGCCUCCUACUCCCAUCUGAUGGGAAAUAGCUCCGAGACUGCACAACGCCACAGUGGACCACCCAGCAAUUCCCUCUAUGCAACAGAGCCGCUUAACUCGACUGCUCUGAAUGAUGAAGAAAUCUAAGCUGUGUGAGAACAUAACAGGAAAUGCCCUUUGCCAAACCUUCUGUGCUGGUAUCCUUGGGAUGUGAAUGAAUUGAACAAUCCCUUCCUUCAUGAUUGACAUUCUAAUAAUUUCUCUCAAAGUACUUUUAAGGGAUGGGUCCUAAAAAAAUUCAUCCUGAGGAUGAGGCAAAUGUAGUGUUUCUUUAAUUCAGUGUGCACGUCAUUUCAGUAUGUCUUCCGAUGGCUCUGUAUCUGUGAUUCACCAUUCGUAAUUGUCCUGCAAGAAAACGUGCAAGGGAUAAGGCCAAGGACCUUCCAGAAAAACUGACUUAUGCUAUCUUGAGAACGUUUAGCACCUAUACUAAAUAAAUGUCUGUGGAGGAGCAUAUGUGGGUUUAGGUGUGAUUCCAUGAAGGGAGUUUCUAAAGAUACUGGGGUACCCAGACACUCAUGACUCUGACCCUGUUGCUCACCAGGGUCGAAAUAACCUGAACCAGUCGAGAAGACCAACUCGGCCAGCCUGUGUUGGCUGAGUAAGUUCUUAAAAUCUGGAGCUUAGAAUUAAAGCUAGAACAGUGUGCCUUGUGUUGUGUACUCAAUCAUUUCAAGAAAAUGAAUAUCAUUUUUUUGUGAAUAGCAUCAUUUUUCAAUUAGGCACUAGGUGAAUAAUAUAUGUUUAAUAAAUUCACUCUAAUUGGUACUCUCAUGAAUCCUUCCAACACAAUGGACGACUUAGGAGGAAAACAAACUGUGAAUGUUAUGAUCAAGUACUUGGGCAGGUUAAACUAACAACCUUGACAUCUGUAGAAAUUAAGUGAUCAAAUGGUCGGAUGCUGCCAAAGGAACCUGCCAGGCAGGGCAGAACUUGAGUGAAGUGUGGUGGAAGAGACCUGGGCUCUAGACCUGCCAGUUACGGUUAAGGGGGCUUUGCAAAUCAUUUAAUAUUCUCAGUUUGUGGCUUCUCCUUUUAUAAAACAGUUAUAAUACUUGUCUCAAAGGGUGCUGAGAAUAUUAAAGAACAUAACAUACUCAAUGAUCCUUUAUAGAUUGUAAGACCCAGUUACUACGGAGGGGCAAGAUUUCAAGGAAAACAGAGGUUCUUGGGGGUGCUGUUGGCAGAGCAGAGGUUUGGGGGUGGAGCGCCUAGAGGGUGGUUGGUCCUUGGGGAGGUGGGAGAGCAUCCUUGGCUACAGGGAUGAUGUGACUGAUGGAUCUGUGCCACUGGGAAGCAGCCUGCUUCUCCCUUGGGAAUGCUCCCCGUUCUCUCUCUCAAGGGCACCCUUCUCUAAGCCGCAGGGAGGAGGGUAACAAGACAGCCCUACCAAGGCACAGCAUCUGGACCAUUCCUGCCUGAGGGCAAGAGGGGGUCUGUGACUUGGAUUAAAGAUGAAAGUUGGAUCUAGAGCAGGGGGCUCUCAACACUGAUGACCCAUCUCAGUCACUCAGGACAUGGCAGGAGUUUCUACCCGAUGGCUGCCCGGGAACGCAGGAGCUCUAGUGUCCUUGAGGAGGGGACUGGAAGAUCUGACACCUUGUUGGUGUACCAGAAACUUCUGUUUCCUGCCCACAUCCUUAGAAUGCCAGGGCUCCGGCAGGUGAAGGCUUUGGCCACACUCUGCAAGGGGUGCACAGGCCGCCCCGAGCAGGGUGCCUGGCACAGCUCCCAGGUUCACCUGCACGGGUCCUUGAGUGUCCUUGCUGCCCAUGCCUAUCCCGCCCAGCUCUCUGCACCACCUGCACAACUGAGGGAAGAAAGUGGGUCCAAAUACUCCCACGCAUGUCAGAGCUAUUAUUACUACUAACAAUGUCACUCUCCAUCCACCUUAAUCUCAUCAGACCCACUGCUAUUUUAAAAUUUUGUUUAGUGUCUGUCACCUCCACUGGAAGGUAAGCAAGGACCUUUUGAGUGUCACUCUGCACGAACGUGCUUUUUGCACAAAGUUGGCACUGAAAUGAAAUGCAAUGUAUGAAUAAAUGACUCAAUAGCUCCCGUUUACUGGGAACUUAGUAUGUGCCAGGCCCUUUCUGUCUAUUAGCCCAUUUAAUUCUCACAACAGCUCCACGAGGAAAGUGCUGUUAUUUAGUCCCAUUUUAGGGCAGAGGAAGCUGAAAUUCUGAGAGGUUCAGACAUCUGCCCAAGGUCACAGAGGCAGUAAGAAGUGGAGCUAGGGCUUGAACUCACUGAUUUCCAGCUCCAAAGGCCAAGCUCUUAGCAAAAAUAUGGUACUAAUUCCUAUCACUGGGGAUGGGACAGGAACCUAGCCUCAGCAGGAAUUGGCUGCAAAUCUGGUUUUACUCUGGCACAAAAUAGUAGUGUGGCUGAAAUAGAAUUCUUUCUUUUCCUUUUUUUUUUUUUUUGCCUUUUAGGACUGCACCCAUGGCAUAUGGAGGUUCCGAGGCUAGGGGUUGAAUUGGAGCUAUAGCUGCUGGCCUAUACCACAGCCACA
RNAcentral lists this long non-coding RNA (3814 nucleotides) under Sus scrofa (pig). RNAcentral describes it as "lncRNA (ENSSSCG00000048655.1)". The record is from RNAcentral. Lineage: Eukaryota; Metazoa; Chordata; Mammalia; Artiodactyla; Suidae.